AGGAUUCCCCUAGUAACGGCGAGUGAAGAGGGAAGAGCCCAGCACCGAAGCCUGCGGCAGGUUUGCUGUUAGGCAAUGUGGUGUUUGGGUCGACUCGCGGGAUUGCCACUCCACUCGAAGUCCAGCAUUGAGUAUGGUUACUGGACUCGGCCCAGAGAGGGUGAUAGGCCCGUACGGGUGGAGGCUCAGACAAGCGAGGCAAUUCACCAGGUCGACCUUAGAGUCGGGUUGUUUGAGAAUGCAGCCCAAAGUGGGUGGUAAACUCCAUCCAAGGCUAAAUACUAACACGAGUCCGAUAGCAAACAAGUACCGUGAGGGAAAGUUGAAAAGUACUUUGAAGAGAGAGUAAACAGUACGUGAAGCCGCAUGCAGGUAAACGGGUGGCGUCAAGCUGCUAGCCUGGAGAAAUCAGCUGGCUAGGAUGUUGUAAGCGCCUGUCGCUUCGCCAGUCAGGGUUAGAUGUGGUGGUCUACCGUAAAACGGUGGGUCAGGCCGUAAGGUCUGAACAUGCGUACCGGGCGGAAGCUGGAGCAUGCCAUCCAUCUGUUGGACUGUCUGGCCAGUGCACUUUCUCCAUGGUGAACACCACGAUCGGUGGUAUUGCCAGUCUGCUGUGGCCGAGUUGCGCUAGGUGAAUCUCAGGGUUCGCUGAGUGUGAUCACGGGCAAUUUCAGUAAACGGCGUACGGGUGCCGCUUUGGUGGUGUCCGUGCGUGUUAUCGGCUACUGGUUGUCGUCGGGUCGGCGUGCUGUUGUUGCAACUGCUGCGUGCCGGCGCGGUGGGCUAUGGCGGUAUGAAACUGUGCAAGGCACCGGAGUUAUCGGUCUCAAAUGCAUCUCGCACGCACGUUGUAAGUGCUGUGGGGUGCCGUUGCUGUUUGCUCACCGUUUGGUCUGAUUGUCGUGUUGCCUGCGCAAAGUAGGUCCGGCAAUGGUUUAAUGUGAGUUAGACAGUGGAUGGUGCCUCGUGUGUGAGUUGUGGUGGGCCAAAUAAUCGGUGGUGCUGUGGUAGACGAGCUACCCGACCCGUCUUGAAACACGGACCAAGGAGUUCAACAUGUAUGCGAGUCACUGGGUCCUACGAAACCCAAAGGCGCAAUGAAAGUGAAGCUUCGACAUGUUCUCGAAGUGAGGUGAGAUCCUGCCGUUACUCGCACCAGCCCGUGUCAGCAACAGGCUAAGAGCGGUAGGCGCAUCACCGGCCCGUCCCAUGAUGUGGUCAUUGGGUUAAGUCUGUGCUCGUCGCUGCU
This 1249-nucleotide ribosomal RNA is filed under the name Dioecotaenia campbelli. Its description in RNAcentral is "partial 28S ribosomal RNA". It matches the Rfam family "Eukaryotic large subunit ribosomal RNA", at positions 71 to 810 of the family's 3401-position model. The record is from RNAcentral. Lineage: Eukaryota; Metazoa; Platyhelminthes; Cestoda; Tetraphyllidea; Dioecotaeniidae.